AUAUCAAUAAGCAGAGGAAAAGAAACCAACAGGGAUUGCCUUAGUAAUGGCGAAUGAAGAGGCAAGAGCUCAAAUUUGUAAUCUGGUUUAUUGUAUAAACUAGAGUUGUAAUUUGAAGAGGAUGCUUUGGUAGGGUGCCAAUCCAAGUUCUUUGGAGUAGGACAUCAUAGAAGGUGAGAAUCCUGUUUAUGAUUGGCAAUCCUGUGCCAUGUAAAGCUCCUUCAAUGAGUCGGGUUGUUUGGGAAUGCAGCUCUAAAUGGGAGGUAAAUUUCUUCUAAAGCUAAAUAUUGGCCAGAAACCGAUAGUGAACAAGUAGAGUGAUCGAAAGAUGAAAAGCACUUUGAAAAGAGAGUUAAACAGUAUGUGAAAUUGUUGAAAGGGAAGCGCUUGCAACCAGACUUGCGCGCCGUCGAUCAUCCGAGGUUUUCCCCGGUGCACUCGGCGGUGCUCAGGCCAGCAUCGGUUUCGGUGGUUAGAUAAAGGCCUUGGGAAUGUGGCUCCUCCGGGAGUGUUAUAGCCCUCGGUGCAAUGUAGCCUACUGGGACCGAGGACCGCGCUUCGGCUAGGAUGCUGGCGUAAUGGUUGUAAGCGA
This 592-nucleotide ribosomal RNA is filed under the name uncultured fungus. RNAcentral's name for it is "eukaryotic LSU rRNA". It matches the Rfam family "Eukaryotic large subunit ribosomal RNA", at positions 40 to 647 of the family's 3401-position model. The record is from RNAcentral. Lineage: Eukaryota; Fungi.